CGUGUAGGCGGUUGAUUAAGUCGAAUGUGAAAGCCCCAAGCUUAACUUGGGAACGGCAUCCGAAACUGGUCGACUUGAGUAUCGGAGGGGAGAGCGGAAUUCCUAGUGGAGCGGUGAAAUGCGUAGAGAUUAGGAAGAACACCAGUGGCGAAGGCGGCUCUCUGGACGAUUACUGACGCUGAGACGCGAAAGUGUGGGUAGCAAACAGGAUUAGAUACCCUGGUAGUCC
Molecule: ribosomal RNA, 229 nt
Filed under: uncultured bacterium
Lineage: Bacteria
Description: partial 16S ribosomal RNA
Rfam family: Bacterial small subunit ribosomal RNA
Source: RNAcentral